Molecule: ribosomal RNA, 253 nt
Filed under: uncultured bacterium
Lineage: Bacteria
Description: partial 16S ribosomal RNA
Rfam family: Bacterial small subunit ribosomal RNA
Source: RNAcentral
UACGAAGGGGGCUAGCGUUGCUCGGAAUCACUGGGCGUAAAGCGCACGUAGGCGGAUUGUUAAGUCAGGGGUGAAAUCCUGGAGCUCAACUCCAGAACUGCCUUUGAUACUGGCGAUCUCGAGUCCGGGAGAGGUGAGUGGAACUGCGAGUGUAGAGGUGAAAUUCGUAGAUAUUGGCAAGAACACCAGUGGCGAAGGCGGCUCACUGGCCCGGUACUGACGCUGAGGUGCGAAAGCGUGGGGAGCAAACAGG